RNAcentral lists this ribosomal RNA (255 nucleotides) under uncultured bacterium. RNAcentral's name for it is "partial 16S ribosomal RNA". It matches the Rfam family "Bacterial small subunit ribosomal RNA", at positions 99 to 354 of the family's 1533-position model. The record is from RNAcentral.
CGGACGGGUGAGUAACGCGUGGGUAACCUGCCUCAUACAGGGGGAUAACAGUUAGAAAUGACUGCUAAUACCGCAUAAGCGCACAAAACCGCAUGGUUUGGUGUGAAAAACUGAGGUGGUAUGAGAUGGACCUGCGUCUGAUUAGCUAGUUGGAGAGGUAACGGCUCACCAAGGCAACGAUCAGUAGCCGACCUGAGAGGGUGACCGGCCACAUUGGGACUGAGACACGGCCCAAACUCCUACGGGAGGCAGCAG